UACGUAGGGGGCUAGCGUUGUCCGGAAUCAUUGGGCGUAAAGCGCGCGUAGGCGGCCCGGUAAGUCCGCUGUAAAAGUCAAAGGCUCAACCUUUGAAUGCCGGUGGAUACUGUCGGGCUAGAGUCCGGAAGAGGCGAGUGGAAUUCCUGGUGUAGCGGUGAAAUGCGCAGAUAUCAGGAGGAACACCAAUGGCGAAGGCAGCUCGCUGGGACGUUACUGACGCUGAGACGCGAAAGCGUGGGGAGCAAACAGG
RNAcentral lists this ribosomal RNA (253 nucleotides) under uncultured bacterium. RNAcentral describes it as "partial 16S ribosomal RNA". It matches the Rfam family "Bacterial small subunit ribosomal RNA", at positions 524 to 776 of the family's 1533-position model. The record is from RNAcentral.